This 253-nucleotide ribosomal RNA is filed under the name uncultured bacterium. RNAcentral's name for it is "partial 16S ribosomal RNA". It matches the Rfam family "Bacterial small subunit ribosomal RNA", at positions 524 to 776 of the family's 1533-position model. The record is from RNAcentral.
UACGCAGGUGGCAAGCGUUGUCCGGAAUUAUUGGGCGUAAAGCGCGCGCAGGCGGUCCCUUAAGUCUGAUGUGAAAGCCCACGGCUCAACCGUGGAGGGUCAUUGGAAACUGGGGGACUUGAGUGCAGAAGAGGAAAGUGGAAUUCCAUGUGUAGCGGUGAAAUGCGUAGAGAUGUGGAGGAACACCAGUGGCGAAGGCGACUUUCUGGUCUGUAACUGACGCUGAGGCGCGAGAGCGUGGGGAGCAAACAGG